RNAcentral lists this ribosomal RNA (316 nucleotides) under uncultured Bacillus sp. RNAcentral describes it as "bacterial SSU rRNA". It matches the Rfam family "Bacterial small subunit ribosomal RNA", at positions 1061 to 1382 of the family's 1533-position model. Lineage: Bacteria; Bacillati; Bacillota; Bacilli; Caryophanales; Bacillaceae. The record is from RNAcentral.
CGUGUCGUGAGAUGUGGUUAGUCCGCAACGAGCGCGAACCCCACGUUUAGUUGCUAACGCGUGAAGGCGAGCACUCUAGACGAACUGCCGUUGACAAACGGAGGAAGUGGGGAUGACGUCAAAUCAUCAUGCCCCUUAUGUUCUGGGCUACACACGUGCUACAAUGGCCGGUACAGACGGACGCAAAGCCGCGAGGUGGAGCAAAUCCUAAAAAGCCGGUCUCAGUUCGGAUUGCAGGCUGCAAUUCGCCUGCAUGAAGUCGGAAUCGCUAGUAAUCGCAGGUCAGCAUACUGCGGUGAAUACGUUCCCGGGCCUU